RNAcentral lists this ribosomal RNA (449 nucleotides) under uncultured bacterium. Its description in RNAcentral is "partial 16S ribosomal RNA". It matches the Rfam family "Bacterial small subunit ribosomal RNA", at positions 338 to 795 of the family's 1533-position model. The record is from RNAcentral.
CCUACGGGGGGCAGCAGUGGGGAAUUUUGGACAAUGGGGGCAACCCUGAUCCAGCCAUGCCGCGUGAGUGAAGAAGGCCUUCGGGUUGUAAAGCUCUUUCGGCCGGGAAGAAAUCGUGCGGGCUAAUACCCUGUAUGGAUGACGGUACCGGAAGAAGAAGCACCGGCUAACUACGUGCCAGCAGCCGCGGUAAUACGUAGGGUGCGAGCGUUAAUCGGAAUUGCGGGGCGGAUAGCGUGCGCCAGCGGUUAAAUCCCCGGGCUUAACCUGGGAACUGCGUUUGUAACUGCGAGACUUGAGUGCGGCAGAGGGGGGUGGAAUUCCACGUGUAGCAGUGAAAUGCGUAGAGAUGUGGAGGAACACCGAUGGCGAAGGCAGCCCCCUGGGUCGACACUGACGCUCAUGCACGAAAGCGUGGGGAGCAAACAGGAUUAGAUACCCCUGUAGUC